AGGACAAACGCUGGCGGCGUGCAUAAAACAUGCAAGUCGAACGGACUUCAGUCCGCAAGGACUGAAGUGAGUGGCGAACGGCUGAGUAACACGUAGGUGACCUGCCCCGAAGUUUGGGAUAACACCUCGAAAGAGGUGCUAAUACCGGAUGUGACCACCGAUUCAUUUCGGUGCUUAAAGUCGCAAGACGCUUUGGGAGGGGCCUGCGGCGGAUUAGCUAGUUGGUGUGGUAACGGCACACCAAGGCUUCGAUCCGUAGCUGGUCUGAGAGGAUGGCCAGCCAGACUGGGACUGAGACACGGCCCAGACUCCGUACGGGAGGCAGCGAGUUAGGAAUUUGGGCAAGUGGGCGAAAGCCUAGACCAGCAACGCCGCGUGGCGAAGAGGCUUCGGGUCGUAAGCCUUUCGAGGGAAGAGUAGUGACGGUACCUGGAAUCGAGCCCGGACUAACUACGUGCC
Molecule: ribosomal RNA, 459 nt
Filed under: uncultured soil bacterium
Lineage: Bacteria
Description: bacterial SSU rRNA
Rfam family: Bacterial small subunit ribosomal RNA
Source: RNAcentral